CUGGACGAGCCACGCCCCCCUGAACAGGCUCGGUGUCUGAUCUCGGAAGCUAAGCGGGGUCGGGCGUGGUGAGUACUUGGAUGGGAGACCACCUAGGAAGACCAGGUGCUGUAGACA
Pteropus alecto (black flying fox) is the source of this 117-nucleotide non-coding RNA. The record is from Rfam. NCBI's taxonomy places the organism in Eukaryota, Metazoa, Chordata, Mammalia, Chiroptera, Pteropodidae.